AGAGUUUGAUCCUGGCUCAGGAUGAACGCUAGCGGGAGGCCUAACACAUGCAAGCCGAGCGGUAUUUAUUCUUCGGAAUAGAGAGUGCGGCGUACGGGUGCGGAACACGUGUGCAACCUGCCUUUAUCAGGGGGAUAGCCUUUCGAAAGGAAGAUUAAUACCCCAUAAUAUAUUGAAUGGCAUCAUUUGAUAUUGAAAACUCCGGUGGAUAGAGAUGGGCACGCGCAAGAUUAGAUAGUUGGUAGGGUAACGGCCUACCAAGUCAGUGAUCUUUAGGGGGCCUGAGAGGGUGAUCCCCCACACUGGUACUGAGACACGGACCAGACUCCUACGGGAGGCAGCAGUGAGGAAUAUUGGACAAUGGGUGAGAGCCUGAUCCAGCCAUCCCGCGUGAAGGACGACGGCCCUAUGGGUUGUAAACUUCUUUUGUAUAGGGAUAAACCUUUCCACGUGUGGAAAGCUGAAGGUACUAUACGAAUAAGCACCGGCUAACUCCGUGCCAGCAGCCGCGGUAAUACGGAGGGUGCAAGCGUUAUCCGGAUUUAUUGGGUUUAAAGGGUCCGUAGGCGGAUCUGUAAGUCAGUGGUGAAAUCUCAUAGCUUAACUAUGAAACUGCCAUUGAUACUGCAGGUCUUGAGUAAAGUAGAAGUGGCUGGAAUAAGUAGUGUAGCGGUGAAAUGCAUAGAUAUUACUUAGAACACCAAUUGCGAAGGCAGGUCACUAUGUUUUAACUGACGCUGAUGGACGAAAGCGUGGGGAGCGAACAGGAU
RNAcentral lists this ribosomal RNA (770 nucleotides) under uncultured bacterium. RNAcentral's name for it is "bacterial SSU rRNA". It matches the Rfam family "Bacterial small subunit ribosomal RNA", at positions 8 to 778 of the family's 1533-position model. The record is from RNAcentral.